UCCGAAGGGGGCUAGCGUUGUUCGGAAUUACUGGGCGUAAAGGGCGCGUAGGCGGUCUUGUAAGUCAGAUGUGAAAGCCCCGGGCUCAACCCGGGAAUAGCAUUUGAUACUGCGAGGCUUGAGACCGGGAGAGGAUGGCGGAAUUCCCAGUGUAGAGGUGAAAUUCGUAGAUAUUGGGAAGAACACCGGUGGCGAAGGCGGCCAUCUGGACCGGUACUGACGCUGAGGCGCGAAAGCGUGGGGAGCAAACCGG
RNAcentral lists this ribosomal RNA (253 nucleotides) under uncultured bacterium. Its description in RNAcentral is "partial 16S ribosomal RNA". It matches the Rfam family "Bacterial small subunit ribosomal RNA", at positions 524 to 776 of the family's 1533-position model. The record is from RNAcentral.